This 599-nucleotide ribosomal RNA is filed under the name uncultured Lake Michigan sediment bacterium LMBA15. RNAcentral describes it as "bacterial SSU rRNA". It matches the Rfam family "Bacterial small subunit ribosomal RNA", at positions 875 to 1482 of the family's 1533-position model. Lineage: Bacteria; Pseudomonadati; Pseudomonadota; Gammaproteobacteria. The record is from RNAcentral.
GCUGGNAGUACGGCCGCAAGUUAAAACUCAAAUGAWUUGACGGGGGCCCGCAAAGCGGUGGAGCAUGUGGUUUAAUUCGAUGCAACGCGAAGAACCUUACCAGGUCUUGACUCCAGAGAACUUUCCAGAGAUGGAUUGGUGCCUUCGGGAGCUCUGAGACAGGUGCUGCAGGCUGUCGUCAGCUCGUGUCGUGAGAUGUUGGGUUAAGUCCCGUAACGAGCGCAACCCUGUCCUUAGUUGCCAGCACGUAAUGGUGGGAACUCUAAGGAGACUGCCGGUGACAAACCGAGGAAGGUGGGGACGACGUCAAGUCAUCAUGGCCCUUACGACCUGGGCUACACACGUGCACAAUGGAACGCACAGAGGGCAGCAAAAGCGCGAGCUGGAGCCAAUCCCACAAAACGUUCGUAGUCCGGAUCGGAGUCUGCAACUCGACUCCGUGAAGUCGGAAUCGCUAGUAAUCGUGAUCAGAAUGCCACGGUGAAUACGUUCCCGGGCCUUGUACACACCGCCCGUCACACCAUGGAGUGGGUUGCUCCAGAAGUGGUUAGCCUAACCUUCGGGGGGGCGAUCACCACGGAGUAUUCAUGACUGGGGUG